UUUUUUUUUUUUUUGGCUGCACCAGCGACAUGCAAAAUUCCCAGUCCAGGGAAUGAACUUGUGUCACUGCAGGAAUGAGCGCUGCAGCAGUGACAAUGCCAGGUCCUUAGCGCACGGAGCCACCAGGGGAACUCUGACAGGAAUUCUUUAUUCUACAUUUGCAACUCUUCUGAAAGUCCAAAACUGUCUCCAAGAAGGUUUUUAAAGUAUUUACAGGAGUUCCCACUGUGGCUCAGUGGAAAUGAAUCUGACUGGUAUUCAUGAGGAUGUGGGUUCGAUCCCUGGCCUUGCUCAAUGGGUUAAGGAUCCGGCGUUCCGUGAGCUGGGGUGUAGGUCACAGAUCUGCGGCAACAUCAAAUCCCUAACCCACUGAGGGAGGCCAGGGACUGAAACGCAUCUUCAUGGAGACUAGUCAGGUUCUUAACCCGCUGAGCCACAAUGGGAACUCCUCUAUCAAAUAUUUUAAGUCGAUCCCCUUUGAGAAGAUCAAACGUGGCCGGGAAGACGCUGUUGCCAUUUCCGAUCAUUUGAAAUGUACAGCCAACACACAAAGGUGACCCUGUUCUUUUGACUUUUGAAGGUAACUGUCAUGCAUCUUUGAUUUUGUGUUUGGUGCCCUUCAAAAGAUGUCCACAGAUGCCCAGGAAUGGACACGUUCCUGGUUAUUUUUGGCUUUUAUUCCCUACACCCCCUAACCUCUCGCCCUCCCCAUACAAGGUCCCUUUGCUCUGGAUUUAACUCCCGCAGGAACGGAAGUCAGCGUCUUAGCCCGGAUGUGUCCUCAGCUGCUCCCCAAAGGCUUUGGAGAGAGCGCCAGGCUUCACUGAUGCUUUGGGGGGGCAGAGGGGUUUCACAUCUCAGACACGCCCUUGCUCGGAGGUGACCAUGCCUACUCUGGCUCUUGAAAGAACGUCUUGCAGCUGCUCCUGGAGGGUCUCCACACCCUACUCCACAGCUUCUAGCUUCCCUCGCCCCUGUCUCCCAACCUCCUCCCCUCUUCUCUGCUCUGCUCGGCUGCCUGGGUACAUCCUACUCAUGGACAUUCUGUUUUCUCCUCUGUCCACAGGGAUGGGUGUUCAUGCAGAAAACAGAAGUCCUGACUCAGACUGGAUCACACAGAAAUAAAACGUGGUGACUCCCACCACCACCGGAAACCCCCAGGUGGGUGCUGCAGUGUCUCCCAACUCUGUGGAUGUUGCUUAAUUUCUCUGAUUCUCUUCCCUCUGCUCUCCCCUCCCCUGCACUGGCUUCCUCUCCAGCAGGCAGCAAAGGGGCUGCAGCAUGUGGGUGACGGACUACCUCCACUGAAAUGCAAGGGAGGGACUUCCUGCAGCCCUCCCAGAAAAAGAAAACUUUUACCAGCAGCUUUUAGAAAGAGACACGUACGUAUCAUCAGUGCGUGUUGUUAUUUUCCUAUUCUUUUUUGUUGCUGUUUUUUGUUUGGGGAGUUUUUUGGCUGCCAAUGGCAUGCAGAAGUUUCCCAGGCCAGGGAAAAAGCUUGUACUACAGCAAUGACAAUGCCAGAUCCUUCACCCGCUAGGCCACCAGGGAACUCCGCGCUUUCCUAUUCUGAAACCAAUCUCUGUGGGCCAGGAGAGUCCCAAAGCUUGAGAUGGCUGAGGUCCGGGUACCCAGGGACUGUGACAUGUGUGAGUUAGAACAGGAGGUGGAGAAUCGAGACCCACAGACCAACCCCACCCCACUGCCUAGUUUGGCAAAGAAACUUGGUAAACACACAUUUUUUUUGGAAUAUAGCCAAACCCACAUGCCUCUCGCUUGCCAAGGACCAGCUUUGUACCACUGCAGAGUUAGUAGCGGCAAGAGAGACCAUAUGCCCCAGAGAGCCAAAAUCCUGGCUCUUUACAGGUCAAGUUUGCUGACCACUGGCUGAGACAGCCCUGGACUCAUCUCAGUGCUCCCCCACCAUCUGCCUGCCCUAUGGAUGUGACAGAGACACGACAGUCCCUGCCACCGUCCAAUCCCUAGGCUAAGCAACAUCACCAAGCAACGAGGCACUCUGUUAUGGCAGCCCUUCUCUUUUCCAUGGCUCAGAUUCACUUUCUUUUAUAAAAUCAUCACGUAGUAAGUCACUCUCGUUGCCUUACUGUCUUUCUCUGCAAAAUUAAAAGUGUGCAAGCCUCAGAGAGCCUCUCUAAUUUUCCUUUAUUAAAUUUCAGGAGGAAGUGAAAUCCUAAACUGUAAAGUUCCUCUCUCCCGGUGUGUCCCUGAUUUCUCACAGGAGCCCUGGACGUGAGUCCUCCCAAACCCCAGCAGCUUCUGCACUAAAAGCCAAAGGGGUUUCGUGCCAGCAAACAAGGUGGGUACGUUCUCACGAAUUUUCUGAUAAACACAGUCUCAGAAAGGCUGAACGAAAGGCAGCGUCCAUAGUCUGCAAAGUUCGAUCCUUCUCCAAGAAGGCUAUGUCAUCAAUUCUCAUUGGUUAUGUUCCGUUCAUGAAAAUAAACAAUAAGCAACUUUAAGAACCGAUACAGUAACUGCUACUCUGAUCAGCAGGGACGGUCAAAAGGCUACAUACACACACAAAAAAGGUGAUACUGACACUCUCACCGCCCUUAGUUUCAAAAGCAGUUCUAGAAUUUACCAUGUCAUCGACAUGACCCCUAAUUAUAUGAAAUGGAAAUAAUCUCCACCUAAGAAUCUAAUGGUAAAAUGACCGAUGAAAGAAGCAGCUACUCGCCAACAUGAGGUCAUCCUGGAAGCACACAAACCUUUUUUUUUUUUUUUUCUUCUUUGUAAAUA
This 2760-nucleotide long non-coding RNA is filed under the name Sus scrofa (pig). RNAcentral describes it as "lncRNA (ENSSSCG00015058604.1)". The record is from RNAcentral. Lineage: Eukaryota; Metazoa; Chordata; Mammalia; Artiodactyla; Suidae.